RNAcentral lists this long non-coding RNA (239 nucleotides) under Ricinus communis (castor bean). Its description in RNAcentral is "long non-coding RNA (RCOM_LNC000039)". The record is from RNAcentral. Lineage: Eukaryota; Viridiplantae; Streptophyta; Magnoliopsida; Malpighiales; Euphorbiaceae.
UGCUGUUCGCAUUAUGAAAAACAAAAUAACACCAAAUGACCAUCUAACCCCGCCGAAUGGCGUCGUUUGCAAAGGGCAAAGUCUGGCGAGGAGCUAGGCAUCACAUAAAAUCAACUUCGCCCAAAUCAAUUGAAAUUCACACUGUUCAUGGAACAUAACAUCUUUAUUGUAUUAGAAUAGAUUGUAUACUAUAAUUGUUAAAGCUGACUCCUUGGCAUCCAAGUAUAAUUAUAACUUUU